CCGUUCCAAUUUGUGCUGCAUCAGAGUGACAACAGAGGUUCGAUCCUGGCUCAGAUUGAACGCUGGCGGGAUGCUUUACACAUGCAAGUCGAACGGCAGCACGGACUUCGGUCUGGUGGCGAGUGGCGAACAGGUGAGUAAUGUAUCGGAACGUGCCUAGUAGCGGGGGAUAACUACGCGAAAGCGGCAGCUAAUACCACGCCGCCCUUCCAGGAAAGCGGGGGACCUUCCAGGCCUCGCACUAAUCAGAGCGGCCGAUAUCCAGUUAGCUGGUUGGUGGGGUAACGGCUCACAAGGCGACGAUCCGUAGCCUGCUGGUUUGAGAGGACGACCAGCCACACUGGGACUGAGACACGGCCCAGACUCCUACGGGAGGCAGCGGUGGGGAAUUUUGGACAAUGGGGAAACCCUGAUCCAGCCAUCCCGCGUGUGCGAUGAAGGCCUUCAGGUUGUAAAGUACUUUUGGCAGGAAAGAAACGGCACGGGAUAAUACCCCGUGCAGCAAUGACUUACCUGCAGAAUAAGCACCGGUAACUGCGUGCCAGCAGCCGCGUGUACGUAGGGUGCAAGCGUUAAUCGGAAUUACUGGGCGUAAAGCGUGCAUGAGCGGUUUCGGAAAGAAAGAUGUGAAAUCCCAGAGCUUAACUUUGGAACUACAUUUUUUAACUACCGAGCUAGAGUGUGUCGGAGGUGGAAUUCCGUGUAGCAGUGAAAUGCACGUAGAUAUGCGGAGGAACACCGAUGGCGAAGGCAGCCUCCUGGGAUAACACUGACAUGCAUGCACGAAAGCGUGGGGAGCAAACGAGUUAGAUGCCCUGGUGAGGUCACGCCUAAACGAUGUCAACUAGCUGUUGGGGCCUUCGGGCCUUGGUAGCGCAGCUAACGCGUGAAGUUGACCGCCUGGGAGUACGGUCGCAAGAUUAAAACUCAAAGGAAUUGACGGGGACCACACAAGCGGUGGAUGAUAUUGGAUUAAUUCGAUGCAACGCGAAAAACCUUACCUACCCUUGACAUGUCUGGAAUCCCGAAGAGAUUUUGCAGGAGUGCUCGCAAGAGAACCGGAACACAGGUGCUGCAUGGCUGUCGUCAGCUCGUGUCGUGAGAUGUUGGGUUAGUCCGCAACGAGCGCAACCCUUGUCAUUAGUUGCUACGAAAAGGGCACUCUAAUGAGACUGCCGGUGACAAACCGGAGGAAGAUUGGGGAUGACGUCAAGUCCUCAUGGCCCAUAUGGGUAGGGGCUUCACCCGUCAUGCAAUGGUCGGGACAGAGGGUCGCCAACCUGCGAAGGGGGAGCCAAUCCCGAAACCCGGUCACGUAGUCCGGAUCGCAGUCUGCAACUCGACUGCGUGAAGUCCGGAGAUCGCUAGUAAUCGCAGGAUCAGCAUGUCGCGGUGAAUACGUUCCGGGUCUUGUACACACCGCCCGUCACACCAUGGGAGUGGGUUUUACCAGAAGUAGUUAGCCUAACCGUAAGGAGGGCGAUUACCACGGUAGGAUUCAUGACUGGGGUGAAGUCAUGUCGGGUAA
RNAcentral lists this ribosomal RNA (1528 nucleotides) under uncultured Bordetella sp. RNAcentral describes it as "partial 16S-23S ribosomal RNA intergenic spacer". It matches the Rfam family "Bacterial small subunit ribosomal RNA". Lineage: Bacteria; Pseudomonadati; Pseudomonadota; Betaproteobacteria; Burkholderiales; Alcaligenaceae. The record is from RNAcentral.